RNAcentral lists this RNase MRP RNA (243 nucleotides) under Zootermopsis nevadensis. RNAcentral describes it as "rNase MRP". It matches the Rfam family "RNase MRP". Rfam says of the family: RNase MRP is an enzymatically active ribonucleoprotein with two distinct roles in eukaryotes. In mitochondria it plays a direct role in the initiation of mitochondrial DNA replication. Lineage: Eukaryota; Metazoa; Arthropoda; Insecta; Blattodea; Termopsidae. The record is from Rfam by way of RNAcentral.
GAGUUCUGUCGAUCCUUGCUUCGAGACUACACCCAGAGCUCUUUGUAGCUCAACUGUCUUGAGGAAAGUCCCCGGAUCGCUGGCAGAGAGUGUCACGUUUUAAACACGGAAGCAGCAACCAACGUUCCAUAACGGAUGGGAUCGUGCAAACGUGAUCUUAGGAAUGGGUUUGGCUGUGUUGGUCAUAGCAUAGUAAUGCAAGGGUUAUGUAAAUAACAUAAUGGGGCUCAGUCUGUCAGAACU